UUAAGUUGUUGCGGUUAAAAGCUCGUAGUUGGAUUUCUGUCSAAAACGGCCGGUCCGCACUAUGUGCGUGUAUCUGGUUCGGUUUUGGCAUCCUCUUGAAGAACGUGUCUGCGCUUGAUUGCGUGGCGCGGUAUUCAAGACUUUUACUUUGAGGAAAUUAGAGUGUUCACGGCAGGCAAGCGCCUUGAAUAUAUUAGCAUGGAAUAAUAAUAUAGGAUUUUGGUUCUAUUUUGUUGGUUUCUAGGACUAGAAUAAUGAUUAAUAGGGAUAAUUGGGGGCAUUUGUAUUAACGCGUCAGAGGUGGAAUUCUUGGAUUGCGUUACGACAAACUACUGCGAAAGCAUUUGCCAAGGAUGUUUUCAUUGAUCAAGAACGAAAGUAUGGGGAUCGAAGAUGAUUAGAUACCGUCGUAGUCUAUACCAUAAACUAUGCCAACUAGAGAUUGGAGGUCGUUCUUUUUAUGACUCCUUCAGCACCUUAUGAGAAAUCAAAGUCUUUGGGUUCCGGGGGGAGUAUGGUCGCAAGGCUGAAACUUAAAGGAAUUGACGGAAGGGCACCACCAGGAGUGGAGCCUGCGGCUUAAUUUGACUCAACACGGG
RNAcentral lists this ribosomal RNA (599 nucleotides) under uncultured Syndiniales. RNAcentral's name for it is "SSU rRNA". It matches the Rfam family "Eukaryotic small subunit ribosomal RNA", at positions 607 to 1220 of the family's 1831-position model. Lineage: Eukaryota; Dinophyceae; Syndiniales. The record is from RNAcentral.